UCUGAAUCUGCGUACGGCUCCGCAAACCAGUUGUAAACUACAGCAAGCAAGCACGGGGGGUUGGCCUUCACGGGUCGGUCCCUCGGGCGAUAUGGAUAACCCUGGUAAUUCUGAGGCUAAUACAAGAACGUAACCCCUGGCUGACUGAGCCCUCGCCCUCGGGUGGGGAUACUUGGGAGGCUGGGAAGCGUGCGAGUACUAAUGCGAAUGAGAACCGGGAAUGGGCGCACGCUUGGACCGCGCUACAAAGGAUCAUUACUCGGCAAUCCCUCCGGGGUGCGCUUUGUUUUGGCCCUAGCGGCUCUUGCGGUGUGCUUCUGACCUAUCAACUAGACGGCAGCGUAACGGACAUGCUAUGG
Molecule: ribosomal RNA, 359 nt
Filed under: Lamproderma echinosporum
Lineage: Eukaryota; Evosea; Eumycetozoa; Stemonitida; Stemonitidae
Description: bacterial SSU rRNA
Rfam family: Eukaryotic small subunit ribosomal RNA
Source: RNAcentral